Lemur catta (Ring-tailed lemur) is the source of this 208-nucleotide long non-coding RNA. RefSeq lists it as uncharacterized. The transcript has 3 exons. Lineage: Eukaryota; Metazoa; Chordata; Mammalia; Primates; Lemuridae. The record is from RefSeq and is a predicted model, not a curated record.
GCGGAGCCCCGGGGAGCUGGAGGACGUGCACUUGCUGGAGCUCUUACUAAACCAUCUCUGGAUGAAGUGCUGUGCUGAUUGGGGUCUGCUUUAAAAUGACGGAAGAGAGGACAGUGGGCAGUGAAGCGAAGCUGGCCACGAGCUGAUAACACUCGCAGUCGAGUGGUGGCUGCCUCCUGCUGGGUUCGUCCUCCAAGCCUCUGGACCU